GACGAACGCUGGCGGCGUGCUUAACACAUGCAAGUCGAACGGAAACGCCCUGCUUUUGUGCUGUGCUCGAGUGGCGAACGGGUGCGUAACACGUGAGUAACCUGCCCUUGACUUUGGUAUAACUUCAGGUAACUGGGGCUACUACAGUAUAGCAUCUCCUGCUGCAUGGUGGGGGUUGGAUCGUUUCGGCGGUUGGGGAUGGACUCGCGGCUUAUCAGCUUGUUGGUUGGGUAGUGGCUUACCAAGUCUUGGACGGGUAGCCGGCCUGAGAGGGUGGACGGGGACAUGGGGACUGAGAUACGGACCAGAGUCCUACGGGAGGCAGCAGUGGGGAAUAUUGCACAAUGGGAGGAAGCCUGAUGCAGAAGCGCCCGGUGCGGAAUGACGGCCUGCGGGGUGAGAAACGCUUUAGCCUGUGACGAAGCGGGAGUGACGGUAAUGGGUAAAGAAGCACCGGCUAACUACGUG
This 468-nucleotide ribosomal RNA is filed under the name uncultured bacterium. RNAcentral's name for it is "partial 16S ribosomal RNA". It matches the Rfam family "Bacterial small subunit ribosomal RNA", at positions 28 to 507 of the family's 1533-position model. The record is from RNAcentral.